RNAcentral lists this ribosomal RNA (1592 nucleotides) under Triticum aestivum (bread wheat). RNAcentral's name for it is "partial small subunit ribosomal RNA". Lineage: Eukaryota; Viridiplantae; Streptophyta; Magnoliopsida; Poales; Poaceae. The record is from RNAcentral.
GGAUGAGUGUCUUUUUGGGUAAAUUCUCUUGUUGGCUCGUAGCAAUGCACGGGCACUCUACUAGUAUAAGUCGUUUCACACAACUGAAAUUAAAUUGUUUUGCACGAUGUUUGUAAUGUCUACAACGCCUUGUAAAAAGUGAACAGAGGGAGUACAUUCGACGGCUACACACGAACCACCCAAUUUGAGGUGGCCAGUGAUAGGCGCCGGCGCACCGGCCCAAUUUUUGGCCGGUCGGCUGCCGAGCAUACGAUACGGACUUUUCCAACCGUACGAUACAACUUUUCCUUCGUCUUCAAAAAGUCAACCACGCUGGAAAAAAGGUAGUGACCUAGUUCAGGCACGCUCGCCGGCCGCCGCACUUGUCCUCGGCAUCACGUGCUUUCCGUCACCCGUGCCACCGCGUCCGCCCACCCGUGCUCGCCGCUGUUCGUGCCAUUGCGCUCGUCUCGGCUACCUCCGCUCGACAUGGUUGUAGCUCGAACAGAGACGGGUUCCAGCAUGUGGUCACCAUGGUUGCAACAUCUCGGCCGUCCCCGUCUCCGGCUUGCCGCCGUCAUUGGCUUGCACCGCCAGUGCCAUGUCCAGCAAAAACAAAUCUAAAAAGCAACAAAAACCUCCAAUAAACGGUUGAAGCAAAAAGAUUAGCUGGUUCCAGCAAAACUUGAUGCUAUUUCCAGCAAAUAUCAAAAGCAACAAAAACCUCCGAUACUCGGUUGAAGCAAAUAGAUUUGCCGGUUCCAACAAAACUUAAUGAUGGUUCCAGCAAAAAUCUCAGCAACAAAAACAGAUAAGCCAAUUGUAGCAAAUGAAUUAGCCGGUUCCAGCAAAACAAUCUCACUGAAAAAAGAGUCCAGUGCCCAUAGUAGCAAAAAAAAUGACGGUUCCAGCAAAAAUAAAGGCUGGUUCCAGCAAAAAAUGUGUUGCCUGCCCAGGGCGCGUACGGUUCCAGCAAAAAUAAAGGCUGGUUCCAGCAAAAAAUGUGUUGCCUGCCCAGGGCGCGUCCGGUUCCAGCAUCAAGGGACACUGGUUCCAGCAUCAACAUGUGCCGGUUGCAGCUCCCUGUAGGCCGGUUCCAGCAUCGCUGCGUGAGCAAGAACCAGUCGCCGUCGUCGCGCACAAUGGUGACGUAGCGGGUGAGCGAGCUUGCAGCCCAGUCGUCGGGCCCUUUGCUCGCAGCUCCAAGGAGGGGAGCGUGUGUGUGCAGCAUGUGCUUGUUCUCAACCUCGUCGAUCCAUGGCGUACUGCCUAGGAUAUGAGAGAGAAAAGCAAAAAAAUGCAAACAGCUCACCCCCUCUCAUGGAUAUAUGGUGGAAAAUGUCGCGGGGAACAGAUAAGGCAACAAAAACGAACUUGAUUUCAUGAGGAUUGGGUGUGGAUUCCUGAAGAGAGAGCACACGAAGAGAGAUGAGAGAUAUUGAGCAAGGAGGGUUGAAGGAGGAGACGCCUCAUGUGGUCUCAGAAUAUCCAAGGGGAUAAGAUGGAAGCGGUGGAGAUAAACUUGGCUUUGUGGGUGGUGGGCCAGGGUUAUAGCGACGCGAGGGUAGCUUUGUGGGUGGUGAACCAGGACUGUAGAGCGUGGCGACCGGCCG